UGGCUCGGCCAAUCCAACCAUUCAUCAGAUAGUAUAAUAAAGUCAUCAUAUGAUGAAUAAUAAUUCCAUCAUUCAGAGAAACACUAGAUGGAUGGCGCCUGCAAUAUCAAUCAGAAAUAAUGGAUCCAUUAUCAUUCACCUUAAUGGGAUGCUAUGAUCUAGUUAUCACUAUAACUAGCUCAUUUUAUGAACCUAAUAAUUUAGAAGAUUUGGUGAACACAAUUUAUCAUAAUUAAAUACAUAGACAAACUAAUCUCAAUCCUCCCACUGACUUCACCA
RNAcentral lists this long non-coding RNA (279 nucleotides) under Elaeis guineensis (African oil palm). Its description in RNAcentral is "long non-coding RNA (EGUI_LNC064832)". The record is from RNAcentral. Lineage: Eukaryota; Viridiplantae; Streptophyta; Magnoliopsida; Arecales; Arecaceae.